RNAcentral lists this ribosomal RNA (467 nucleotides) under uncultured bacterium. RNAcentral's name for it is "partial 16S ribosomal RNA". It matches the Rfam family "Bacterial small subunit ribosomal RNA", at positions 28 to 507 of the family's 1533-position model. The record is from RNAcentral.
GACGAACGCUGGCGGCGUGCUUAACACAUGCAAGUCGAACGGAAAGGCCUCUUUCGGGGGGUACUCGAGAGGCGAACGGGUGAGUAACACGUGAGUAACCUGCCCUUGACUUUGGGAUAACUUCGGGAGACACGGGCUCAUACCCGGUAGGCGCUCCUGCUGCGUGGUGGGGGUUGGAGAGUUUCGGCGGGUUGGGGUGGACUCGCGGCGUAUCAGCGUGUUGGUGGGGUAGUGGCUUACCAAGGCUUUGACGGGUAGCCGGCCUGGGAGGGGGACCGGGCAAAUUGGGGCCUGGGUACGGCCCAGACUCCUACGGGGGGGAGCAGUGGGGAAUAAUUCACAAUGGGGGGAAGCCCGAUGCAGGAACGCCGGGGUCGGGAUGACGGGCCUCGGGGUGGAAACCGCCUUCGCGCAGGACGAAGCUGUGUGUGACGGUAGUGGGUAAAGAAGCACCGGCUAACUACGUG